UUAGAUACCCUUGUAGUCCACGCCGUAAACGAUGAAUGCUAAGUGUUGGAGGGUUUCCGCCCUUCAGUGCUGCAGCUAACGCAAUAAGCAUUCCGCCUGGGGAGUACGACCGCAAGGUUGAAACUCAAAGGAAUUGACGGGGGCCCGCACAAGCGGUGGAGCAUGUGGUUUAAUUCGAAGCAACGCGAAGAACCUUACCAGGUCUUGACAUCUUUUGACAAUCCUAGAGAUAGGACUUUCCCUUCGGGGACAAAAUGACAGGUGGUGCAUGGUUGUCGUCAGCUCGUGUCGUGAGAUGUUGGGUUAAGUCCCGCAACGAGCGCAACCCUUAUUGUUAGUUGCCAGCAUUAAGUUGGGCACUCUAGCAAGACUGCCGGUGACAAACCGGAGGAAGGUGGGGAUGACGUCAAAUCAUCAUGCCCCUUAUGACCUGNGCUACACACUUGCUACAAUGGACGGUACAACGAGUCGCAAGACCGCGAGGUUUAGCAAAUCUCUUAAAGCCGUUCUCAGUUCGGAUUGUACGCUGCAACUCGCCUACCUGAAGUCGGAAUCGCUAGUAAUCGCGGAUCCGCCUGCCGCGGUGAAUACGUUCCCGGGGCCUUGCUCACACCGGCCGUUACACCUUGAGAGUUUGUUACCUCCUCAAGCCGGUGGGGUCACCCUUUUGGAUUCCCCCCGUUUCUGCGGGCGCCCCAUGCUUUUGGCGGCAUGUGCUCUCCUCGUACACCAACCAUCAGNCAAACGGCUGGU
Molecule: ribosomal RNA, 753 nt
Filed under: uncultured bacterium
Lineage: Bacteria
Description: bacterial SSU rRNA
Rfam family: Bacterial small subunit ribosomal RNA
Source: RNAcentral